Sorex araneus (European shrew) is the source of this 3341-nucleotide RNA transcript. It is a transcript of the gene named ubiquitin conjugating enzyme E2 V1, with no coding region annotated. The record is from RefSeq and is a predicted model, not a curated record. The transcript has 3 exons. NCBI's taxonomy places the organism in Eukaryota, Metazoa, Chordata, Mammalia, Eulipotyphla, Soricidae.
AUUCCAGGCCGAGUGGGCACCAUCACGGGGCGGGGGGGUCUCAUCACUGGAGGCCCGGGCUUCAUGGGCAUAUGGCCUCCCACUGGGGGCCUCAUCCCAGGAGCAGGUCCCCCUGGCAUCAUCCUAGGAGAAAGGGGCUCAUCAUUGGCCUCAUUGGGGGGGCCGUAUGGGGUGCUGGCAUCAUCCCGGGGCGAGGAGGACCCGGGAGACUGGGCGGAGGGGGGGGUCACCGCCCCUGCAGGAGGAGGAGCAGAGAAUGGAGGUGGAGGCCUCUCGCCUUGUUGAAUGCAGCGGUUGUCCUAUCAGUCAGGCUCUGGGCCUGCUCCUCCAUCCGUUUCUGAUGGUAGAAAUUUCCUUCACAUUCUCUCUGUGUUCCCUGCCGCUGCAGUGAGCCUUUCUCACAGAGGGAGAGUCGUGGGUGAGGUACGUGUCGCAGUAGUCACAGUAAAACUCAGGCACGGAGCUCUGCAGGCCGUUGAGCGCUCAUGCCCCGCUCACCAGAAGUCUCUCUCUCUCUCUCUUGUUUGCUUUGUUUGUAUGAAAAAUAAAUGGUUUUUCACAUGUUUUUAAAUCUCCACAGCAACCGUAAGAGGUUGAUACUAUCACAAGCAUACACAUGCUGAACAGACACACACACACACACACUCAAAAGGGAGGAACUGAUGGCAGGAAGAUUUGACUCUUGCCCGAAUUCACGCAAUACCAUGCAUGUGAAUGAAGACAAAUCCAGAAAUGUUUCGCUCAAGAGGCGGGUCCGCCUUUUGGGACCCACACGCUUCCUGCCGCUACUGACAAAUCACACCCAAAUCCAGGGCAAAUGUUCUCUGUGCUCUUCCAGCCUUCAAGACACACCUGACUUCCCAGAUGCGCGGAAUGAUGCGGUGAUCACUGCUUACGUGGACGGUGCUGGGAAGGAGAGCCACGGGCACCCUGAAAGGCAUUACAGCUGCGUGUGACUUGGUUGGAGAAAUCAAGGAAGGCUCUCCUGAGGAGGUGAUGCUGGCUCUGGGAACUGAGGAUGGGAAACAACACAGACAAAAGCCCUGGUUGGGGGGUGGAGGGGUGGAGGAUGGGGCAGCUGUUUUGUUUCAGGGGGCUUUAAAGAGCCUGUGUCGCCGGAGACAUUCUUCAAAUCUCUGAUGUGCUGACAACUGUGAAGCAGGGGAAGGACAUGGGGCACCCGGGUGCCCGUUUUAGGAAGACACUUGCUCACGGGGCUGUGCAGUGCAGAGCUGAGACCUUCGAGCAAAGGCGCCUAGUGCCGGCCCUUAGGGCAGGGCCCCGUGUGUGCGUGCUGGGGGGACGGAGGCCCCUUCUCUCCUGACUCCUCCCGAGGGUCCUGGUCUCCGAGGGGCGUCCCACACUCUUCCAGGCUCCGUGUCUGAGGACCAGCCUUGCUGGAGAUUCUCCAGCCGUCAACUCUCGGGGUGCAUUUCAGUCACAUUUCCGCUGGGCCCACGGCUGCCCUGAGGAGCGUGACCCAUGGAGACGGACGGGGACGACAACUGGGCCCAUCUGAGGGAGACGCAAGGGGCGGCUUCUCCCUUGGGGAAAAGGGCAGAGCCGCGGGACCGAGGAGUGAGUGCAGCGGGCAAAGUGCUCCUGAGCACAGAGCCAGAAGGAAGCCCAGAGCACUCACUGCCUUCAGGCCCAAUAACCACUGUCACCAUCAGGACGGAUGGAGCCAAGGGCUCCGGGGUGGCCGAGGGGCAGGGGAGGCGGGCGUCCUCUCUCUGUCCCCGCGGGCCGGGAUCCCGAGACCGUCCCGUCAGCCUCUCAGCCUCCGGAGGACGGGCUUCUCAGGCCACUCCAGGGGAGUGCAUGGCCACACGGUCACACGGUGCAGACCCACCACUGACGGUGACCUCUGGCCGCAAAGGCCCUGCACACCGCCAGCCCAAACCCCAGGCCCCGCCCCUGCACUCUCCCAUCACACGCGAGUUCCUUUCCUCGCCCUCUGCUCGCGGUGCUCCCCAAUGGGGGUGGGGGGGGCUCGUCCUCAGCACCCAGCGCUGCAUGGACCCAGGAGGUGCUUCCUGGUCAGUACCUGAGUGGAUGCGCAGCUGCGCCCACGAGGGGUGCACGGGGGGCGUCCUGGGGGGGCGCACCCCUUCCAAGCUGGCCCCUCGGUAGCGUCUGCCGCUGCGGAGCCAGAGCGCCGGCGGCGCGCACGAUCUGCCUCGGUCUCCCCAGCAGAAGAGUUGAGUUUCGGCCUGUCCCGGCUUCGUUGUUCACGGGAAUCCCCCCGCGCAGGGUGCACCGGGCAGGGAAGCGCCCACGGAUGGGAGAUCCGUGUCGGCGGCCCCGAGGGGACCUCGCGGGUGGGGGUGGGGAUGGGGGUCUCGCGGCUCACCGCCUCGGCCGCCCCGCGCUGGAGACACGUGCAGGUGGGGGGCGGCCGCGCGGGUGCAGCGGCGGGUCCCGGGCUGGCGUGUCCGGAGGCGUGUCCCGGGCGGCGUGUCCCGGGCUGGGGCAGCAGGUCCUGGUUGGCGGGUCCCGCGUUGCAACAAAGGGUCCCGGGCUGGGGCGGCGGGUCCGGGCUGGCAAGUCCCAGACUGGCGGGUCCUGGGUUGCAACGAAGGGUCCCGGCCUACGGUGGCGGGUCCCGGUUGGCGGGUCCCAGGCUGGGGUGGCGGGUCCGGGCUGGCGAGUCCCGGGCUGCAGCGGCUGGUCCCGGGUUGGAGCGGUGGGUCCGAGUCGGCGGAUCCCGGGCUGGGGUGGCGGGUCCGAGUCGGCGGGUCCCGGGCUAGGGAGGCGGGUCUGGCUGGUAGGUCCCGGGUUGCAGCGGCGGGUCCCGGGUCCCGGGCUAGGACGGCGGGUCCGGGUCGGCGGGUCCCGGACUGGGGCGGCGGGUCCGGGUCGGCGGGUCCCGGACUGGGGUGGCGGGUCCCGGGUUGCAGCGGCGAGUCCCGGGCCGGGGCGGCGGGUCCGGAUCGGCGGGUCCCGGGCCGGGGCGGCGGGUCCGGGGCGGCGGGUCCCGGGUUGCAGCGGCGGGUCCCGGGCCGGGGCGGCGGGUCCCGGGUUGCAGUGGCGGGUCCCGGGCCGGGGCGGCGGGGCCGGGUCGGCGGGUCCGGGUCCCGGCGGCGGCGGCGGCGUGCGUGUGCGCCUGCGCGCGCCUGCGCACUGCGGGCCGGGCGGGGGUGAAGACGGGGCCGGCCUGGGCGCGACAGCGACGCAAGAUGGCAGCCACCACGGGCUCGGACAAUUUAUGAAAACCGAAUAUACAGCCUUAAAAUAGAAUGUGGACCUAAGUACCCAGAAGCACCUCCCUUUGUAAGAUUCGUAACGAAGAUUAAUAUGAACGGAGUCAAUAGUUCUAACGGCGUGGUGGACCCGAGGGC